CCUACGGGGAGCAGCAGUGGGGAAUAUUGCACAAUGGGGGAAACCCUGAUGCAGCGACGCCGCGUGAGUGAAGAAGUAUUUCGGUAUGUAAAGCUCUAUCAGCAGGGAAGAAAAUGACGGUACCUGACUAAGAAGCCCCGGCUAACCACGUGCCAGCAGCCGCGGUAAUACGUAGGGGGCAAGCGUUAUCCGGAUUUACUGGGUGUAAAGGGAGCGUAGACGGCGGAACAAGUCAGAAGUGAAAACCCUGGGCUCAACCUUGGGAGUGCUUUUGAAACUGUUUGGCUGGAGUGCAGGAGAGGUAAGCGGAAUUCCUAGUGUAGCGGUGAAAUGCGUAGAGAUUAGGAGGAACACCAGUGGCGAAGGCGGCUUACUGGACUGUAACUGACGUUGAGGCUCGAAAGCGUGGGGAGCAAACAGGAUUAGAUACCCUGGUAGUC
RNAcentral lists this ribosomal RNA (440 nucleotides) under uncultured bacterium. Its description in RNAcentral is "partial 16S ribosomal RNA". It matches the Rfam family "Bacterial small subunit ribosomal RNA", at positions 338 to 795 of the family's 1533-position model. The record is from RNAcentral.